GAUGAACGCUGGCGGCGUGCUUAACACAUGCAAGUCGAGCGAGAAGUUUUGAAAAGAUUCUUCGGAUGAAAUUUAAAAUGGAAAGCGGCGGACGGGUGAGUAACGCGUAGGCAACCUGCCCCAUACAAAGGGAUAGCAUUUGGAAACGAAUAUUAAUACCUUAUGAAACUUAACUAGUGCAUGCUAGGUAGGUCAAAGAUUUAUCGGUAUGGGAUGGGCCUGCGUCUGAUUAGCUAGUUGGUGAGGUAACGGCUCACCGAGGCGACGAUCAGUAGCCGACCUGAGAGGGUGAACGGCCACAUUGGAACUGAGACACGGUCCAAACUCCUACGGGAGGCAGCAGUGGGGAAUAUUGCACAAUGGGGGAAACCCUGAUGCAGCAACGCCGCGUGAACGAUGAAGGCCUUUGGGUCGUAAAGUUCUGUUCUAGGUGAUGAAAACUGACAGUAACCUAGGAGAAAGCCCCGGCUAACUCCGUG
Molecule: ribosomal RNA, 479 nt
Filed under: uncultured bacterium
Lineage: Bacteria
Description: partial 16S ribosomal RNA
Rfam family: Bacterial small subunit ribosomal RNA
Source: RNAcentral